RNAcentral lists this non-coding RNA (1504 nucleotides) under Pongo abelii (Sumatran orangutan). Lineage: Eukaryota; Metazoa; Chordata; Mammalia; Primates; Hominidae. The record is from RNAcentral.
CCCCUUCCGCGAACCCCGAGCGGGUAGACCCAGAGCAAUCCAAGUGUGGAAACAGUGGAGAGGGGGGGUGUUGAGCUGGGGUCUCCAUGCCUCGUUGGGGAGAGGGAGCUCACGUACCCACAGCAGCAGUUGCGUGAUGACGACGUGGGCGAGCUCGGCCGCCAGGUGGAGUGGGGAGCGCAGCUGUGGGUCCUCUACGCUGGUGUCGAGCGGCCCGUGUCGCGCAUGGGCCAAAAGCAGAAGAACAGUGGCCACGUCCUGGGCCUGCACGGCGGCCCACAGCUGGCGGCCCAGCGGCUCCUCCGUGGUGCUCAGCGGCGCCAGGAACAGCAGCUGCUCGUACUUGGAGCGAAUCCACGACUCGCGCUCCUCCCUGCAAGACCAGGGAUCAACGGAAAAGGCUCUAGGGACUCCCAGCCAGGACCUCUGCCCCUACCCACGGGACUGUCUCAGGUUCGCACACCCUCAGCAACCCUCCCCUCCCUCUGUUCCCUCACGCUUACCGCGAAGAGUCCCGCGUAGGCUUGGCACGGCCUCGCGUGUCGCUUUCCCACACGCGGUUGGCCGUGUCGUUGCCAAUAGCUGUCAGCACCAGGGUCAGCUCCCGUGGCCAGUCGUCCAAGUCCAGCGAGCGGACGCGGGACAGGUGUGUGCCCAGGUUGCGGUGGAUGCCAGAACACUCGAUGCAGAUGAGGGCGCCCAGGUUCAAGCUAGCCCACGUGGGGUCUGCGGACGGAGCGUAGAGGUCGGCUCCCAGCCGGGCAGCACAGGCACCCCGGCAUUCACCACACUCCCUAGCCCCUUCGCUGCCUCCUGGCACUCACUGGGGGCCCCGCAGUCCACGCAGAUUGAAUUCCCCUUGGCGUUCCGGAUCGCCUGGAUGGCCACGGCCUCGCUUUGGCUGUCUGUGCGCAGCUGCAGAGAGGGUUUGGGUUGGCACUGACUCUGCCUCCAAGCCCCACCUCCUUCUCAGACACCUCUGCUCUCCUCUUACACGACUUCGGCGGGCCGUGUCGUUGCCAAUGGCCGUCAGCACCAGGGUCAGUUCCUGCGGCCAGUCCUCCACCCCACCUCAGACUCUUACCUUGACCUUGCUGCUCUCACAGCAUUGAAGACUGGCUAGGAUCUGACUCUCGAUGGCCUGGACCCAGGCAUCCCGCUCCUCAAAACUGGCUGCCUCAAAGUGCCACGUCUGACCCGUGCUGGACACGAUCAGGAACUCAAAGUUUUCCUCUGAGUGGGGGAUGGGAUGGGGUCAUUAAGGGACAGAGUUCAAGCAGGGGCUGCCUUCCCCAAGUCCGUCCUCCCUGAUGUCCAUCCGGAGCCCCUGGGAGUGGGGCAGUGGGGGUAGGGGAAGCAGAGGGUGGGGGGCAGCAGGAAGCCCGAGCACAUGCAGGGGAAGGUGGGGGCACCCCCACCCUUCUGCACCCCAGCUGAGCACCCCUCCCGGCUCCCCACUUGUUACCUGCUUUAUAAAUAUUUCUUAAACUACCAAAGGAUUUUA